AAAUUCCUGCGAUCUGGCUGUGACAUCUGUCACCCCAUUGAUCGCCAGGGUUGAUUUGGCUGAUCUGGCUGGCUAGGCGGGUGUCCCCUUCCUCCCUCACUGCUCCAUGUGCGUCCCUCCUGAAGCUGUGCGCUCGGUCGAGGAGGACGACCUUCCCCGCUAGAGGAGGACCGGUCUUCGGUCAAGGGUAUACGAGUAGCUGCGCUCCCCUGCUAGAAACUCCAAACAAGCUCUAUACCCAAAUUUUUUCAAUGUUUUUAUCAUGAAAAUAUUUUGUAUUUUUAAAUGAAUUUGCUUUGUCUAUUU
RNAcentral lists this small nuclear RNA (306 nucleotides) under Oryctolagus cuniculus (rabbit). RNAcentral describes it as "7SK RNA". It matches the Rfam family "7SK RNA". From Rfam's summary of the family: 7SK was discovered as an abundant small nuclear RNA in the mid-70s but a possible function has only recently been suggested. Two independent studies have found that 7SK RNA binds the CDK9/cyclin T complex (known as elongation factor P-TEFb). P-TEFb activates transcription by phosphorylating the C-terminal domain of RNA polymerase II. Lineage: Eukaryota; Metazoa; Chordata; Mammalia; Lagomorpha; Leporidae. The record is from Rfam by way of RNAcentral.